GUGCAGCUGGAACUACUCUUCUGAGCUAUAAGCAUAUCUAUUUAGUCCCGUCAAACGGAUUAUUAUUUUUGCUGCAGCUAACGUAAAGGAAAAGUAGAUCCGCUAUGCUGACUGAUGCAGGAAUUAGCAGUGAACGUCUCUUUGAGGCGCUUACUGUGAAACUCGAUCUCAAAUCAAGUAAGACUACCCGCUGAACUUAA
RNAcentral lists this unclassified non-coding RNA (200 nucleotides) under soil metagenome. Its description in RNAcentral is "partial contains internal transcribed spacer 2 and large subunit ribosomal RNA". The record is from RNAcentral.